ACUCGGGCACGAUCCCCGCCGCCUAGGCCUGCUUUUUAGGCACCGGCGAUAGUGGGGAACCGACCCGAAGUUUCAACCCUGAGGGA
This is a non-coding RNA of Corynebacterium sp. HMSC04H06, 86 nucleotides long. Lineage: Bacteria; Bacillati; Actinomycetota; Actinomycetes; Mycobacteriales; Corynebacteriaceae. The record is from Rfam.